RNAcentral lists this long non-coding RNA (829 nucleotides) under Marmota monax (woodchuck). The record is from RNAcentral. Lineage: Eukaryota; Metazoa; Chordata; Mammalia; Rodentia; Sciuridae.
UUAUACCAAUGAAAUGAUUCACUGUAUGUCCCUAGAGAGCUUCUGGAUGGGAGCUGGGAAGACCCACUCUGUGAUUAGAAGAUCCGGAUUUUGAGACAUGCUAUCACCCUGACCUCCUAAACUCCAGGGAGGAGAGGAAGGAUCUAGAGGUGGAGAUCCAUCACAUGGCCAGUGUUCAAUAAAUCAUGCCUAGGUAAUGGAAUCCCUGGAUGCAGUCAAUAGAGCAUCCUGCUUGGUGACAACAUGGAUGUGCAGGGAGGGUGGCGCUAGCUGAUUCUAUGAGAAGAAAGCACAGAAGCUGCAUCCUAGACCUUUCCAGACCUUAUCUUACAUGGCUUUUGUUUGGCUAUACUCAUAGGUCAGCAUUUUCCUGAGUUCUGUGGAUUGUUCUAAUAAAUUAUCUAAUCCAAGAAGCUCAUGGGGACACGGCAGGUUUGUAGCAAGUUAUUCAGAAGUGAGGGCAACUUGUUGUGUAUCAUCCCCUUUACCUUGUAGGACGUGAAUUGACUUUGGUUGGUUCAUGCCAGAGUUGAAUUGCAGCACACCAGCUGAUGUCAGAAUAAUGUCCAACUGGGAUUAACUGUAGGUCAGCAGAGUUGAUUAAACAUCCAAAAAUCAGUUAAUAAUAUACCAUAUCAAUGGAAACCAAUUCCUCCCUGGAACCUCAGAGGUAGAAUGGCCCUACCAACACCUUGAGGGUGGACUUAGAGCAUCCAGAACUGUGAGAGGCAAAAAAACAAAACAAAAUAAAACAAAAAAAACAGAAACAAACAAACAAAAAACCACCUGGGGCUGUGGGUAUAACUCAGUGUCGAAGUGUUGUUGCCCA